RNAcentral lists this ribosomal RNA (1340 nucleotides) under uncultured bacterium. Its description in RNAcentral is "bacterial SSU rRNA". It matches the Rfam family "Bacterial small subunit ribosomal RNA", at positions 28 to 1381 of the family's 1533-position model. The record is from RNAcentral.
GACGAACGCUGGCGGCGUGCUUAACACAUGCAAGUCGAACGGUAAGGCCCUUCGGGGUACACGAGUGGCGAACGGGUGAGUAACACGUGGGUGAUCUGCCCUGCACUUUGGGAUAAGCCUGGGAAACUGGGUCUAAUACCGAAUACACCCUGCUGGUCGCAUGGCCUGGUGGGGGAAAGCUUUUGCGGUGUGGGAUGGGCCCGCGGCCUAUCAGCUUGUUGGUGGGGUGAUGGCCUACCAAGGCGACGACGGGUAGCCGGCCUGAGAGGGUGUCCGGCCACACUGGGACUGAGAUACGGCCCAGACUCCUACGGGAGGCAGCAGUGGGGAAUAUUGCACAAUGGGCGCAAGCCUGAUGCAGCGACGCCGCGUGAGGGAUGGCGGCCUUCGGGUUGUAAACCUCUUUCAAUAGGGACGAAGCGCAAGUGACGGUACCUAUAGAAGAAGCACCGGCCAACAACGUGCCAGCAGCCGCGGUAAUACGUAGGGUGCGAGCGUUGUCCGGAAUUACUGGGCGUAAAGAGCUCGUAGGUGGUUUGUCGCGUUGUUCGUGAAAACUCACAGCUUAACUGUGGGCGUGCGGGCGAUACGGGCAGACUGGAGUACUGCAGGGGAGACUGGAAUUCCUGGUGUAGCGGUGGAAUGCGCAGAUAUCAGGAGGAACACCGGUGGCGAAGGCGGGUCUCUGGGCAGUAACUGACGCUGAGGAGCGAAAGCGUGGGGAGCGAACAGGAUUAGAUACCCUGGUAGUCCACGCCGUAAACGGUGGGUACUAGGUGUGGGUUUCCUUCCUUGGGAUCCGUGCCGUAGCUAACGCAUUAAGUACCCCGCCUGGGGAGUACGGCCGCAAGGCUAAAACUCAAAGAAAUUGACGGGGGCCCGCACAAGCGGCGGAGCAUGUGGAUUAAUUCGAUGCAACGCGAAGAACCUUACCUGGGUUUGACAUGCACAGGACGCCGGCAGAGAUGUCGGUUCCCUUGUGGCCUGUGUGCAGGUGGUGCAUGGCUGUCGUCAGCUCGUGUCGUGAGAUGUUGGGUUAAGUCCCGCAACGAGCGCAACCCUUGUCUCAUGUUGCCAGCACGUUAUGGUGGGGACUCGUGAGAGACUGCCGGGGUCAACUCGGAGGAAGGUGGGGAUGACGUCAAGUCAUCAUGCCCCUUAUGUCCAGGGCUUCACACAUGCUACAAUGGCCGGUACAAAGGGCUGCGAUGCCGUGAGGUGGAGCGAAUCCUUUCAAAGCCGGUCUCAGUUCGGAUCGGGGUCUGCAACUCGACCCCGUGAAGUCGGAGUCGCUAGUAAUCGCAGAUCAGCAACGCUGCGGUGAAUACGUUCCCGGGCCU